GACUGCUGCCAGUGACUGCUGAGAACACAGGAGGGUGAAGAAAGACAAAACUCUGGCUAGAUCCUGCUGGCUAGAUCCUGCCUAGUUCCAGCUGCUGAAAGAAAUAUAUACAGAGGGCUGAAAUCAGAGGUGGUGUAACAGAUUUUCAGAUUUACAUCUUACACCAACAUGAGUCUCAGUUCAGUUGGGAGAGUCUCUUGAUCUCAAAUUUCAGAAGUGUCAUCAGCAUAAACAAGAUCAGGAUCAGCCCAUAAUAGUUCUUUACUGGAAUGAGAAGAC
Lonchura striata (white-rumped munia) is the source of this 279-nucleotide non-coding RNA. Lineage: Eukaryota; Metazoa; Chordata; Aves; Passeriformes; Estrildidae. The record is from RefSeq and is a predicted model, not a curated record.